This 2873-nucleotide ribosomal RNA is filed under the name Aphanochaete confervicola. RNAcentral's name for it is "23S ribosomal RNA". It matches the Rfam family "Bacterial large subunit ribosomal RNA". The record is from RNAcentral. Lineage: Eukaryota; Viridiplantae; Chlorophyta; Chlorophyceae; Chaetophorales; Aphanochaetaceae.
UCAAAAGAAUUAAGGCGGACGGCGGAGACCUAGGCACUCAGAGACGAUGAAGGGCGCAUUAACCGGCGAUACGCUUCGGGGAGUUGGAAACAAACUUUGAUCCGAAGAUACCCGAAUGGGGCAACCCCACUGAACUACUUUAUUAAAUUCAUAAAAAGUAAGAGGUAACCCGGUGAAUUGAAACAUCUUAGUAGCCGGAGGAAAAGAAAGCAAACGCGAUUUCCCUAGUAGCGGCGAGCGAAAAGGAAACAGCCUAAACUAUCUUUCUUUAUUUGAAAGAUAGGGUUGUGGGAAGACAAUUAAGUUAAAAAAAAAGAAAAGACGAAGCAGCUGAAUCCUGCACCAUAGAUGGUGAAAGUCCGGUAGUUUAAUUCAAUUUUUAAUAAUGUCUUAUCCCGAGUAGCAUGGGGCACGUGGAAUCCCGUGUGAAUCAGCGAGGACCACCUCGUAAGGCUAAAUAUUCCUGAGUGACCGAUAGCGAAAUAGUACCGCGAGGGAAAGGAGAAAAGAACCCCUGUAGGGGAGUGAAAAAGAACGCGAAACCGUCCGCUGACAAGCAGUGGGAGGAGUAUAAGCUCUGACCGCGUGCCUGUUGAAGAAUGAGCCGGCGACUUAUAGGAAGUGGCUUGGUUAAGGAAAAUACAUCCGGAGCCAUAGCGAAAGCAAGUCUGAAUAGGGCAUAAAUGGUCACUUCUUAUGGACCCGAACCCGGGUGAUCUAAGCAUGGCCAGGAUGAAGCUUGGGUAAAACCAAGUGGAGGUCCGAACCGACCGAUGUUGAAAAAUCGGCGGAUGAGCUAUGUUUAGCGGAGAAAUUCCAAUCGAACUCGGAGCUAGCUGGAUCUCCCCGAAAUUUGUUGAGGCGAAGCGGUGACGAAGGGCUGCCUUGGGGUAAAGCAACUGUUUCGGUGCGGGCUGCGAAAGCGGUACCAAGUCGUGACAAACUCAGAAUACAAGGUAUAGCUUGCCGUCAACCAGUGAGACUACGACGGAUAAGCGCCGUUGUCAAGAGGGAAACAGCCCAGAUCAUCAGCUAAGGCCCCUAAAUGGACGCUAAGUGGAAAAGGAUGUGGGAAUGCAGAAACAACCAGGAAGUUCGCUUAGAAGCAGCUAACUUUAAAAGAGUGCGUAACAGCUCACUGGUAACAGCGUUCUUGCGCCGACAAUGGCCGGGACUAAGCGUCCUGCCGAAGCUGUGGGAUCGAGAAAACUCGUAUCGGUAGGGGAGCGUUCCGCUUUCGGGUGAAGCUUUUACGUUAGUAAGGGUGGACGAAGCGGAAGUGAGAAUGUCGGCUUGAGUAACGAAAACAUUGGUGAGAAUCCAAUGCCCUGAAAACCUAAGGAUUCCUUCACUAGGCUCGUCCAUGAAGGGUUAGUCAGGUCCUAAGAUCAGGCCGAAUGGCGUCGUCGAUGGAAAUCAGGUUAAUAUUCCUGAACUGGUUCAAACAGCAUAGGUCCCGAGGGACGAAGGAGGCUAAACUAGGUUUGUAUAUGGAUUGCAAUGGAAACUUUCAAGGUGUCGAUAGGUUGAAUAAAAACAAUUCUUGAACUGAGGAGUGAACCCGUUUGAUCAAAUCUUCGGAUUUGUUCGAACGCUAGUGAUGUCAAACUUCCAAGAAAAGCUCGUUCGAUUUUUGUUUGAACCACCUGUACCUUAAACCGACACAGGUAGGUGGGUAGAGAAUACCUAAGGGCGCGAGAGAACUCUCUUUAAGGAACUCGGCAAACUGGCCCCGUAACUUCGGAAGAAGGGGUGCCCUCUGAAAAGAGGGUCGCAGUGUCCAGGCCCAAGCGACUGUUUACCAAAAACACAGGUCUCUGCAAAGUCGUAAGACGAUAUAUAGGGGCUGACGCCUGCCCAGUGCCGGAAGGUCAAGGAAGUUGGUUAUUCUUUUUGAAAAAGCUGGCGACCGAAGCCCCGGUGAACGGCGGCCGUAACUAUGACGGUCCUAAGGUAGCGAAAUUCUUUGUCGAGUAAGUUUCGACCUGCACGAAAGGCGUAACGAUUUGGGCGCUGUCUCAAAGAGAGGCUCGGUGAAAUAGACUUGUCCGUGAAGAUGCGGACUACUUAUACCAGGACAGAAAGACCCUAUGAAGCUUGACUGUAGUUUGGAACAGGGUUCGGGCUUUUUUUGCGCAGCCUAGGUGGGAGGCGUUGAAGGUUUCUUUUCGGGGAAACUGGAGCCAUUAUUGAGAGACCACUCUGGAAGAGCUAGAAUCCUAAUGGCGUUCCUUGAAUCAGGACGCUUGACAGUUUCAGAUGGGCAGUUUUUCUGGGGCGGAAUCCUCCAAAAAGGUAACGGAGGAGCGCAAUGGUCCCCUCAACCUGGACGGAAAUCAGGCUUUGAGUGCAAAGGCAUAAGGGGGCUUGACUGCAAGACUUACAAGUCGAGCAGGGGCGAAAGCCGGCCUUAGUGAUCCGACGGUUCCGCGUGGAAGGGCCGUCAACAGGCUGAUCUUCCCCAAGAGUUCACAUCGACGGGAAGGUUUGGCACCUCGAUGUCGGCUCAUCACAUCCUGGGGCGGUAGUACGUCCCAAGGGUUGGGCUGUUCGCCCAUUAAAGUGGUACGUGAGCUGGGUUCAGAACGUCGUGAGACAGUUCGGUCCAUAUCCGGUAUGAGCGUUGGAGUAUUGAGAGGAUCUCCCUAUAGUACGAGAGGACCUAUGGGGGACGCACCAAUGGUAUACCAGUUCUUGUUCCAACAGGAAACGCUGGGUAGCUACGUGCGGAGUGGAUAACUGCUGACAGCAUCUAAGUAGGAAGCCCACCUCAAGAUGAGUACUCCCUGAGGUCACGACUAGACUAGUCGCUUGAUAGGUAUCAGGUGUAAGAUCAGUGAUGAUUUUAGCUGAGAUAUACUAACGACCGAUUG